Molecule: ribosomal RNA, 1361 nt
Filed under: uncultured bacterium
Lineage: Bacteria
Description: bacterial SSU rRNA
Rfam family: Bacterial small subunit ribosomal RNA
Source: RNAcentral
AUUGAACGCUGGCGGCAGGCCUAACACAUGCAAGUCGAACGGUAGCACAGAGAGCUUGCUCUCGGGUGACGAGUGGCGGACGGGUGAGUAAUGUCUGGGAAACUGCCCGAUGGAGGGGGAUAACUACUGGAAACGGUAGCUAAUACCGCAUAACGUCGCAAGACCAAAGAGGGGGACCUUCGGGCCUCUUGCCAUCGGAUGUGCCCAGAUGGGAUUAGCUUGUAGGUGAGGUAACGGCUCACCUAGGCGACGAUCCCUAGCUGGUCUGAGAGAAUGACCAGCCACACUGGAACUGAGACACGGUCCAGACUCCUACGGGAGGCAGCAGUGGGGAAUAUUGCACAAUGGGCGCAAGCCUGAUGCAGCCAUGCCGCGUGUAUGAAGAAGGCCUUCGGGUUGUAAAGUACUUUCAGCGGGGAGGAAGGGAGUGAGGUUAAUAACCUCAUUCAUUGACGUUACCCGCAGAAGAAGCACCGGCUAACUCCGUGCCAGCAGCCGCGGUAAUACGGAGGGUGCGAGCGUUAAUCGGAAUUACUGGGCGUAAAGCGCACGCAGGCGGUCUGUCAAGUCGGAUGUGAAAUCCCCGGGCUCAACCUGGGAACUGCAUUCGAAACUGGCAGGCUGGAGUCUUGUAGAGGGGGGUAGAAUUCCAGGUGUAGCGGUGAAAUGCGUAGAGAUCUGGAGGAAUACCGGUGGCGAAGGCGGCCCCCUGGACAAAGACUGACGCUCAGGUGCGAAAGCGUGGGGAGCAAACAGGAUUAGAUACCCUGGUAGUCCACGCUGUAAACGAUGUCGACUUGGAGGUUGUUCCCUUGAGGAGUGGCUUCCGGAGCUAACGCGUUAAGUCGACCGCCUGGGGAGUACGGCCGCAAGGUUAAAACUCAAAUGAAUUGACGGGGGCCCGCACAAGCGGUGGAGCAUGUGGUUUAAUUCGAUGCAACGCGAAGAACCUUACCUACUCUUGACAUCCAGAGAACUUAGCAGAGAUGCUUUGGUGCCUUCGGGAACUCUGAGACAGGUGCUGCAUGGCUGUCGUCAGCUCGUGUUGUGAAAUGUUGGGUUAAGCCCCGCAACGAGCGCAACCCUUAUCCUUUGUUGCCAGCGAUUCGGUCGGGAACUCAAAGGAGACUGCCAGUGAUAAACUGGAGGAAGGUGGGGAUGAUGUCAAGUCAUCAUGGCCCUUACGAGUAGGGCUACACACGUGCUACAAUGGCAUAUACAAAGAGAAGCGACCUCGCGAGAGCAAGCGGACCUCAUAAAGUAUGUCGUAGUCCGGAUUGGAGUCUGCAACUCGACUCCAUGAAGUCGGAAUCGCUAGUAAUCGUGGAUCAGAAUGCCACGGUGAAUACGUUCCCGGGCCU